This 96-nucleotide microRNA precursor is filed under the name Glossina morsitans morsitans. Its description in RNAcentral is "microRNA mir-598". Lineage: Eukaryota; Metazoa; Arthropoda; Insecta; Diptera; Glossinidae. The record is from RNAcentral.
AAUUGCUGUUGAUGAUGUUGUUGAUGCUGCUGCUGCUGUUGCUGCAAUAAAUUUGCCGCCGCAGCAGCAGCUGCAGCAGCUGCAGCAUUUGUCGGA